UCUUGAUGUAAUACAAUUGAAGGACUCCUUUGAAGAAGGUGCUAACUCUUUCUAUAUUUUGAGAUAAUUCGAUUCUCAUGCAUUUCCUUAUGUCAUCCUGAUUUUUUGAUGCUGCAAAUAAUUAGUUCGGUAAGAAAAACUAAAAUCUUCCAGGUGCAGUAGUAUUACUAUAAGUAUGACAUAUUCGUUCUUUCUUCAUCACUCCACUUAUUUCGAUCAUCGAAGAAAAUACAGAAUACAAGGCACUUCCCACCUGUAAAUAUUUAUAUUAGUCAAUCAAGACGUUUGUAUAUUUUCUAGACCAGGCAUAGCCAACAAGUCGCUUGCGAUCGACCGGUAGAUUGCAGCAUCAAUUUUAGUCUAUUGAGAAUACUAUGGCCUUUUAAAACACGAAAAAUAUUUGUAAUUUCUACGAGAAUAUAAAUUCCAAAUUUUCCACCACAAAAUUUUAAAACCGUCGCUUGGGUUAUACAAUAAGUACUGUGCUGAAUUCUGUGUGGUUAUCUAAUUGGGACUAUGUGAAAAGAACACGUGCAGAACAGGUAGCCUAUACGAGGAAAUGGAACGCGCUGUUUGGUCGUAUCUAGAUUAUGUUGUUAUUUUAUAAAUUGGUUUUUUGUGCCCAAAAGAAUUUCAGUUAUGUGCGAAAAAGUGUACUAAAGCGAAAUUCAUAAUUUGUACUGUAUGAGGAAUGAAAAUAAAAUUGUUUUAUAUAUGGAGAAAGAUAAAUGCUGCUGUUUAUUUAAUCUUUGGAGCCUUUAUCAAAA
Centruroides sculpturatus (bark scorpion) is the source of this 767-nucleotide long non-coding RNA. RefSeq lists it as uncharacterized. The transcript is spliced from 3 exons. The record is from RefSeq and is a predicted model, not a curated record. NCBI's taxonomy places the organism in Eukaryota, Metazoa, Arthropoda, Arachnida, Scorpiones, Buthidae.